CCAUCGAUCCUCCCAAAACGAUAUAGUUUCCCAUUGCCCACCUUAAUUCUGACCAAACUUCAGAACACCUCAGCCAUCAUCCUUCAUCAUUGGCAAACCUUGCCACGAUCUGCUCUGAUCCGUCCUUCUCAACCAUUCCCAUCUCGUCUGCAAGGUGAUGGUAGAUUUUUCACUCCAAGCCUUCCAAAGCAAAAGGGUUUGCAAAUCACUUGUCAAGCUACUAGGCAUUGUCCUCCAUUGAUAGUAUAUUUACCUGCCCAGAAAAAGGCUCGUGCCCACUUGUCCACCUCCAAUGCCCACACAGGCAUAAUGACAUUUUCUAGGCAAUGAUAUUUUGAAAAUGAUUUGGUUACUUCAAACUUUUUUCUUGUGCGAGAUUGAGCAUUUUGUAUGCACAAGUUUUUUUUUAAAUACUCUGUUCCAAAAUGUAUAAAUGGUAUCGUUGCGUUCGUCUUGCAAAUCUCUCUUAUUUCAUAUAUAUUUAUGCAAAUUUUGUAGACAUAUUAUCGGUAUAAAUCAUAGUCAAAGUUAUAAGUUGUUGACCAGUGGAAUUUAAGGGCGCCUUGUAUUUUGGAAAGGAGGGAGUAUCUAUCUUAUUUAUCAAUGUUUUCCUUUGGUUUGUGGAGUUUAUUUCGGUACUGAACAUAAUUGUUAGUGAGUUAUACUGAGGUGAGCAAUCAUGUAUGUUUCUUGUCAGCACACAUGUGUCCUAUUUGGGUAUCUCUCCAACUUGAGAAGAUACAAUUUUCAUAUCCAGCAGUUUUUAUCUGUUGGCAGUGAAUUAUAACUUCUUCCUUCAAGGAUAAUUUUAAGUCAUAUUUCCUUCAAAUGAGAUCACCACAUCCUUGAACGAAAAGUCGCCAUUGAGGGUUUCAACUAGCAAUAGCCCUUCAGUGAAGGUGAAUGAACUGACAGCAAAUUGCACACACUAAUUUCCUUUCUAUUUGGGCCGAAACAAAUGCAUAUUGUGGAAGUCUUUUUUUUGGUACGUUAUAGUCUAUGAUCAUACUUGCAUGGGCCAAUGGAUGAAUCUGCUCUGUUUUGAAGACCAAGGGCUUCUUAUUGUAGUGUUGCCAGUGUAAUAAUGAUGCAGCUGUCAGUAUGCUGAACAGGAAAGCUAGUGUUAACAUUGUUUUAAGUUCUAAAAUGGUACUUUUUCACUGGCAUACUGGCGGUAGAUGACUGAGGGUUUCCACACAAAAGAAGUGUCUACAUUGGCUAGUUUUAGACCUCAAACACUAGGCUAUCUGCUAGCAAGCAGUACCAGAGAAUACUUAGGUACAUCGAGUAUGUGCCUGAGCAGUAUGAUCAUUGUCCCUUUUCAUGAAGAAAGUAAGAAACAGCAUGACCAUUGUAGGUCUCAUUCAGGUUGAGCAACUUCAGGAGCGGCAAAGGUUUUCCGAGUAACCAGUACGUCAUUUUGCUCCCCCAUCACCUAUUAGUAAUCUAUUACUAUAUAUGACUUUUGUGGAUGAUUACUCUUGCACAAUGUUAUUGCUGCUAACAUGAUUUUUUUGUAAGUAUAUAACUACAAAAUGUAUGAUAUGUCUGAUCUACACAGUAGUUGGAAAAUGCAAGACAAUUCUUUUCGACUUUCACAUCUUGGUUGCCCAAGAUAUGGCUACAGGUGCUAAGAGUUUGACGCUGAAUCUCUAAAACAGAUGAGCACCUCUGUCCUGUAUGUACUUUGCAUGUGCUAUUUGGUUCACUUCGCUUAUGGGUUGCUAAUGCCUUACUGAUCAAUAUGACUCCCCUCUGCCACAUGUUCAAAUUGUCCAACCAUACACAGGCUGUUCGACUUUCUGUUCUCACAAAUUGUACGCCACCUCUUUCUUCAGUACUCUUAGGUUCUUUUGGAAGGGGGAAUGAUGACCAGUUGGCCAUCACUUACAAGAAAGGAUGGUAUAUAUCUUGUUCGGCAGAAGCAUAGCAUUGCAGGUGGCUGAAGAGCAGUAUAAACACCGAUAUCAGUGACUUGGACUUCGUACAUUUAAGCGUAUUGAUCGUAAGUUUGUACUGGAGCUUCCCGCAGGCUGCUUUCUCAGAUGGACUAUGUUUCAUGUAUGCUCCCUGGAUAAAAAUGAAGCUGCAGGCACCUACAAACUCUGAAGAUCUAUGCCACGUGUCUGCUCAUUUCAUUUUUUCUGGCAAUGAUGUGUUAAGCAACUAGAAGCAAUUACUUGGGGCAAAAUGUUCAUGCCCCCAUACGAUGUCCGCGCGACCACGCAUUGAGGUUGUCGGGAUCCCCAAAGUUCAUUUUAGCAAUUUCAGGAGCGGCAAAGGUUUUCCGAGUAACCAGUACGUCAUUUUGCUCCCCCAUCACCUAUUAGUGAUCUAUUACUAUAUAUGACUUGUGUGGAUGAUUACUCUUGCACAAUGUUAUUGCUGCUAACAUGAUUUUUUUGCAAGUAUAUAACUACAAAAUGUAUGAUAUGUCCGGUCUACACAGUAGUUAGAAAAUGUAAGACAAUUCUUUCCGACUUUCACAUCUUGGUUGCCCAAGAUACCGCUACAGGUGCUAAGAGUUUGAUGCAGAAUCUCUAAAACAGAUGAGCACCUGUGUCCUGUAUGUACUUUUGCAUGUGCUACUUGGUUCAUUUCGCUUAUGGGGUGCUUAUGCCUUACUGAUCAACCUGACUCCCCUCUGCCACAUGUUCAAAUUGUCCAACUAUACACAGACUGUUCAACUGUCUGUUCACACAAAUUGUAUGCCACCUCUUUCUUCAGUAUUCUUAGGUUAUUUUGGAAGGGCGGAUAAUUACCAGUUGGCCAUUACUUACAAGAAAGGAUGGUAUAUAUCUUGUUCUGCAGAAGCAUAGCAUUGCAGGUUGCUGAAGAGCAGUAUAAACACCGAUAUCGAUGACUUGGACUUCGUACAUUGAAGCGUAUUUAUCGUAAGUUUGUACUUGAGCUUCCCGCAGGCUGCUUUUGCAGAUGUACUAUGCUUCAUGUAUUCUCCCUGGAUAAGCAUGAAGCUGCAGGCACCUACAAACCAUGAAGAUCUAUGUCACGUGGCUGCUCAUUGCAAUCUUCUCUUUGUUCUUUUUCUCAAAAAGGAAGACUGCAAAAGUCAUUAUUCUGAAGCUGUAGCUUGUCUUUCUUGCAGUUCAUUUUUUGUGGCAAUGAAGUGUUAAGCAACUAGAAGCAAUUACUUGGGGCAAAAUGUUCAUGCUAGACUUUUUUUUUCCUACCAUCUUCAGCCUUUAUGGCUCAUGCUUUCACAUCACAUCGAUGUGAUUCAGAAGUGUUGCAGUAUGUUGAACAGAAUGUACAGGCAAUUUGAAGUUUGACAUGGUUUGAACAGCAGAUGUAUACUCUCUGUAAUUCUGUACCUUGAUUCUUGGGGAAAAAACAUAAACUGCCUUGGUUAUCA
This is a long non-coding RNA of Lolium rigidum, 3373 nucleotides long. RefSeq lists it as uncharacterized. The transcript is spliced from 2 exons. Lineage: Eukaryota; Viridiplantae; Streptophyta; Magnoliopsida; Poales; Poaceae. The record is from RefSeq and is a predicted model, not a curated record.